GUGUCAGCAGCCGCGGUAAUACAGAGGUCUCAAGCGUUGUUCGGAUUUAUUGGGCGUAAAGGGUGCGUAGGCGGCAGAGUAAGUUAGGCGUGAAAUGCUAAAGCUCAACUUUGGCACUGCGCUUGAUACUGCUUUGCUCGAGUGCUAGAGAAGAAGCUGGAAUUUACGGUGUAGCAGUGAAAUGCGUAGAUAUCGUAAGGAACGCCAGUGGCGAAAGCGAGCUUCUAGAUAGUUACUGACGCUGAGGCACGAAAGCUGGGGGAGCAAACGGGAUUAGAAACCCCCGUAGUCC
This 292-nucleotide ribosomal RNA is filed under the name uncultured bacterium. RNAcentral describes it as "partial 16S ribosomal RNA". It matches the Rfam family "Bacterial small subunit ribosomal RNA", at positions 505 to 796 of the family's 1533-position model. The record is from RNAcentral.